This 253-nucleotide ribosomal RNA is filed under the name uncultured bacterium. Its description in RNAcentral is "partial 16S ribosomal RNA". It matches the Rfam family "Bacterial small subunit ribosomal RNA", at positions 524 to 776 of the family's 1533-position model. The record is from RNAcentral.
UACAUGGGGUGCAAACGUUGCUCGGAAUUAUUGGGCGUAAAGCGCACGUAGGCGGUUCGUUAAGUCGGAUGUGAAAGCCCUCGGCUCAACUGAGGAAGUGCACCCGAAACUGGCGAGCUUGAGUACGAAAGAGGAUCGCGGAAUUCCCGGUGUAGAGGUGAAAUUCGUAGAUAUCGGGAGGAACACCGGUGGCGAAGGCGAGUCUCUGGACGACUCCUGACACUGAGGCACGAAAGCUAGGGGAGCAAACAGG